Molecule: long non-coding RNA, 1691 nt
Organism: Aegilops tauschii subsp. strangulata
Lineage: Eukaryota; Viridiplantae; Streptophyta; Magnoliopsida; Poales; Poaceae
Source: RefSeq, a predicted model, not a curated record
CGAUCCACUCUCCCCCUCUCGUCCCACAGCCGCCACCCCCAACCCUCUCGAUCCCCAACCAACCAGCCGCCGCCGCCGCCGUCCUCCGUCCUCUCCCCCAACCCCGGCCGCCGGCAAUCCCUCCCCUCCCCUUCUCUCCCACGGCCGCGGUCGGAUCCGCGCUCCCUCCUCGCUCAUGACCUAGACCUAGCCGCAUGGCCCGGCCAUGGGCAUAGCGGCGGCCAGAUCCACCCCCCUCCCCCUCCCUCGCACCUCGAUCCGCUGUCACCCCCACCGUUGACGACCCGCGACAGCAGCAGUGGGCUCGCGAGCCAGAUCAUAAGGACGUCCCUUUCCUCCCGAUCUCAUCGUGCUCCUCUCGAUCCCGUCCACUUCCUCCCCACAGCGGAGCCUCAGUUUUGACCGCGUCUCGCUGCUGCGUGCAGAAGUCCGGGAGGCAUGGGGCCGGGGGCGUGCGCCAGAUCUACGCCGACGGCCUGGGCACCAUGGUGGAAGGCGAGGUCUUCACCACGGUGGAAGGAGGGCAUCCAGGCCUGCCUCCAGUGCAAACCGUGUACAAGCAUCACCUGGGCGUGAGCAGACCAGUUCCACGCCAACAAGAUGAACCUGGGCGAUGCUGACGCAGUACGACAUCGAGGAGGUGCAGGAGCACUGCAACUACCUAUGUACUCUUCUGUUGAUGAACUUCCUCCACACCUGCAGUGACAAGAAAACGCUGAAGAAGUGGUUCUUCAUCGACAAGACUGUGGGCUAAGAAAAUCCAGCCGAAAGAGAGACGACCACCGUACCUGCCUGAGAAAGAUCCUGCCUACAGUGCAUGGAUGGUCCGCCGCCACGGCCGCCACGCUACAGCCAGGCCACCCAACACACAUCGAACUACCGCUGCUCCUCCUUGUCUCGUCUGUCUUCUUGCCCGGGAAGAAAGGAAGCGCCGGAGACCAGCCACUAAUGGCGGUGCCGCUGGAGUUCCCAGCGGAAGCUCCGGCAUCAGCACCAACGCACCCUCAACCUCCUCGCCCUCGGAUUCGGGCUCUACGAGCUUGGAUUCCCAAGUGUUGCGAAAUGCAUCGAGAUCGGUCUUCCAGAGAUCAUACUGCUGGUGGCUCUUUCCCAGGAUGGGAGGUGGAUGCCCGCACGGAUCUGGCGUCUCCGACCUCGGCAUCCACAAGGAGGAGCGGCGACAACCCCGGACCCGUCCGCUGGUGCUGCUGAUCCAGCUUGGACGGACAUGUUGCCUCUUCCACGUCGGCUACAUGACAGCCAUGCUCGCCAGAAGAAGGCUGUGAAGAUCUUCCCCUGCCCUACCUCUGGACCUCUUCGCCCCAUCGUGCAAUGCCAGACCCGCAAGUACGACACUAAGGCAAGGGCUGGCAGAGGCUUUACCCUUGAGGAGCUUAAGGAGUUCUGGGCUGAAGACAUUCGAAGAAGCUCGAAGCCCCAGUCAACAACUUGCUUUAUAUAUUACUGAAUUUGUAAUGCUAAUAUUCUUGAGAAAUUCGAUGUACUGCUGAACAUGCUGGGAAUUUGAUGUAUAUUUGCUCGCUGAACUUGAUGUAUACUUGCUCGCUGAACUCAGAAUAUUAUUUUUUAUUCACUUGAAAUUCAUUCCUUGACUAAAAGUGGCCAGAAAAAUAAAUAUAUAGCCCAAGAGAAAAAUGGCCGAAAUGCCUAUUGGACCAAAUCUAUUCGUG